AUCACCUCUUGGGAAGAAUUUUGUUUUUGAAACAUCCUGUUUUUUCAUAUGGUAUAUAUUAUAGAACUUGAAAGCUGUAUUAUAAUGACUAUUGCCUCUUGCAACUAAGGAGAGUGUUUAUACAAUAGGAAUGGCAGGUUUUAAAGAAAAACGUCCCGAAGCACUUAAAUAAAGCAAAUUUUCAAUAAUCUUUGCAACUUUACCUUACCCAGAAUUAUUUUACAGGAUGACUGAAAUAAAGUCAAAGCAAACAUUUCUGUAAUCAUAUGCAUAAUGAUGUUGAGCACCUUCACACAUCCUUAUUUGCCACUGUAUCAUCAGAAAUGCAUACAUGUGUGCACCAAAAGAUGCCCAGUGUGAUUCCACUAUCCAGCCAGUUGUGGUCACAUGACUGAGCUCAUCUAAUAGAAUGUGGACCUACAUCCUUGGUUCACAAGAAGCUACUUCCCACCACCAAUUCUCUCUCUUUACCCCAGCCUGCUAAUCAUAUGUCAAUAUUCAGCGUGUUCUCAGGAUUUGCAAACUGUGUGUUGAAGAUAGAAUUUCCUUCAACCUAGAUCCCCGAAUGAUUUUUUGGCACACCCCAUCCCCCCACCAACUGCUGAUAAAAACUUACACUAGCGAAACUUAAACCGAUGUCCAGAUAAAAACUCUGCAAUUUUGGGUUUAUCUGUACGGCAGCUGAAUACACCCAUUCUAACUUCAGAGGUAGAGGCCCAGAAAAGAUAUAUAGUCUGUAGACCAUACUUCAACAAAACAUUAAAAAUUAAAAUAUUUAAAAAUUAUGUAUUUAGGGGGACAACUUUCUGGUAGUGAACUGAUCAUUAAAUUUAAAACCAUAAGGGUAUUAUUCUAUGCUUUUUUAUGCCUUAGGAACUAGGAGUGGUUUUAACAUUUUGAAGAGUUGUUUUAAAAACUAAAGAAAAAAAUCAAAGGAGAAUAUGUGACAGAGACUAUUAUGUGCCUCAGAAAAUUUAUCUGGUCCUUUGCACAAAAAGUUUGCUGACCCUUAUAUUAAAGUGUAACAGGGCGAGGAUGGGGGUGGGCGCCUGGGUGGCUCAGUUGGUUCAGCAUCUGACUCUUGAUUUUGGCA
Long non-coding RNA from Felis catus (domestic cat), 1093 nucleotides. RefSeq lists it as uncharacterized. The record is from RefSeq and is a predicted model, not a curated record. The transcript has 4 exons. NCBI's taxonomy places the organism in Eukaryota, Metazoa, Chordata, Mammalia, Carnivora, Felidae.